UUCAUUGUUUAUUUGCGAAGAAGGGAAAAAGCACGUGUUUGUUGCAAAAAAAUUAUAAGCUGAAGAGAAAAGUGAAUUAUAACGAACAAGGGCUACAUUUAUCAUUUGUGCCUCAUUUGGGGGCUGUUCGGGCACCAAAUCAUCGUCGUCGUUGUCGCCUGGGUCAUCCAUGUGUUCCAGGAUCUCAUGCUCUGGAGGUAGUGGAACGUUUCGUGCAACCAUAAAAUUGUGUAGGAUUGCACACGCAUUGAUGAUACUGCCCGCUUUCACUGGUGCAUAUUUAAGCACCCGUUCUUGGAUUAAACACCGAAAUCUGGCCUUUAAUACACCGAUACACCGUUCAACACAUGAUCUUGCACGUCGGUGUGCUAUGUUGAAACGAUGUUCAGGGGUACCAUCUGCAGGAUUCCUUACUGGUGUUAUAAGAUAUGGUUGUAAGGGGUAACCACUAUCACCUGAAGAAUUCAUUGCCAUAACAUUUCAAAUGCAAUUUUGUUAGUUACCCAAGAGCCAAGACGUUCUAUCGCCCCCUGUGAAUCUCUGCUCCAAAAUACGAGCAAUAUUGCUUUGCCGCCAAAUGAACGCAUCAUGGGUUGCACCCCCAUGUGCGGCAUUAAUUCCAAAUAUUUUGUUAUUUGGACCACAGACCUAGGAAAUUUUACUUUUAAAUCAAGAAACUCAUCAAAAAGAGAUAAUUAAUACAAUCUGAACAUUUUUUGAGUGAAAACCUUUGCGGUUUAGGUACUGGUGUUCAAUAUUCAAUGUUGGCUUCGUUAUCGCAAUAUGGGUGCCAUCCACAAACCCAAUUACACCCGGCACAUUAUAACGUUCCAUGAAUCUGUAUGAAUAAGGGGAAUAAGUUGUUUUGAAAAGCUGAUGGUAUGCAUACGUUGUUUUUAUUGCAGCAUAUUCUUCUGCGUUUGGAAAGCCGAUGAAAUCGCCCAAACGGUUCUCGAUAGCGGCAGCUACCUCAGUUAUGGCGAGGGAAAUCUGAGAUUGGGACAAAUUGACGAAACAAUCUUGCCCCACACAACGCUGGUAACUACCGCUAGCAAAAAACCUAAUUGCAGCCAAAAUUCGGUGCUGCUUGGAAGUCUUGUGUACUCUUGCCCCAAGGAUUAAGUGUGGUUCCAACAAUUCGAUUAGUUCUCUCAUUGUGGCUUUAUUAAAUCGGAACAACUCCAUAAAACUAAACAUAUUUGUUUGUUAAAUAAUAGUUAAAUAAAACAUUAACAAUUA
This is a long non-coding RNA of Zophobas morio, 1239 nucleotides long. RefSeq lists it as uncharacterized. The transcript is spliced from 2 exons. The record is from RefSeq and is a predicted model, not a curated record. NCBI's taxonomy places the organism in Eukaryota, Metazoa, Arthropoda, Insecta, Coleoptera, Tenebrionidae.